GAUGAACGCUAGCGGGAGGCUUAACACAUGCAAGUCGAGGGGCAGCAUAGGGUAGCAAUACUCUGAUGGCGACCGGCAAACGGGUGAGUAACGCGUAUGCAACCUACCCUGUACAGGGGGAUAACCCGGAGAAAUUCGGACUAAUAUCCCGUAAUAAUAUCCGGAGGCAUCUUUGGAUAUUUAAAGUUCCGACGGUACGGGAUGGGCAUGCGUAACAUUAGCUGGUUGGUAAGGUAACGGCUUACCAAGGCUAUGAUGUUUAGGGGUCCUGAGAGGGUGGUCCCCCACACUGGUACUGAGACACGGACCAGACUCCUACGGGAGGCAGCAGUGAGGAAUAUUGGUCAAUGGGCGCAAGCCUGAACCAGCCAUCCCGCGUGCAGGAAGACGGCCCUAUGGGUUGUAAACUGCUUUUCCGAGGGAGAAGAAACUUACGCACGUGUUGCGUGACUGACGGUACCUGGGAAUAAGCAUCGGCUAACUCCGUGCCAGCAGCCGACGGUAAAAGUGUGU
RNAcentral lists this ribosomal RNA (513 nucleotides) under uncultured bacterium. RNAcentral's name for it is "bacterial SSU rRNA". It matches the Rfam family "Bacterial small subunit ribosomal RNA", at positions 28 to 531 of the family's 1533-position model. The record is from RNAcentral.